This 253-nucleotide ribosomal RNA is filed under the name uncultured bacterium. RNAcentral describes it as "partial 16S ribosomal RNA". It matches the Rfam family "Bacterial small subunit ribosomal RNA", at positions 524 to 776 of the family's 1533-position model. The record is from RNAcentral.
UACAGAGGUGGCAAGCGUUGUUCGGAAUUACUGGGCGUAAAGCGCACGUAGGCGGUUUCUUAAGUCGGGGGUGAAAUCCUGGAGCUCAACUCCAGAACUGCCUUCGAUACUGGGAAACUUGAGUUCGGGAGAGGUGAGUGGAACUGCGAGUGUAGAGGUGAAAUUCGUAGAUAUUCGCAAGAACACCAGUGGCGAAGGCGGCUCACUGGCCCGAUACUGACGCUGAGGUGCGAAAGCGUGGGGAGCAAACAGG